CGCGGCACGGGCCGGGCCCGCCAGGCCUCGGGGUUGCGCGCCAGCGGCUCGCCUGAGGUGAACUGCGGGAGGCGGGAACGCGCUCUGCCCCGACCCCCGCCCCGCCCUCCUUUGGUGGAUGUCAGUCCUCGAAGAAAACACGCCCAAGUACUGUGAGCUACUGGUCGCCUUCAGUACGGUCUGUGAGCAGUUCUGCCCCUAGGAAGUCUCAUCACGGGAGGAAGCAGGCAAUAGCACUUCGAUACUCUUAUGCUGGUCAGACAAGUAGAGCUGGAAAUACAGGCAGCUGGGGAAGAACACCUGGAAGGAGGCUGAUGAAGAGUCCUUAGAAGGAUUUGCAAAUAGUCAUGACUGAGCAAUUGGUGAGAUCUUCUACCUGCUCUUCAAACUGAUGUUGACCUCAGCCUCAAUGGGUCUGGGCCUCUGGUGUGGUGCAAGAUGCAUGCCUCACCUUUCUGUUGGAGACCUGAGGUCUUUCUGAAGAACCAGGGACUCUUUUGUACACUAAACCAAAGUUGAGGUGUUCAUGGCCUCAAGGAGCUUAUCCCCAAGUAGGCUUGGUGAGGAUAACUGAGAUAGCUGGGCCAACAUGCCAUACUGAGGCAAAAAAUGUGAAAAACACACUGAGAGAAAUGGCCCCAUUGGUUCCCUAUGGUACCUUCUAAUGGAUCCUAAUUAGAAGCUGUCACUUCUUGUUACAGGAAGGAAGGUAUGGUUCAGCUUUCCCAACCCUUAAUGUUGGAGAGGCUGAGAUGAGAGCUGCCCCUGAGAAUUGUUUAAUUUAAGGCACUUGUUUGCUAAAUGUUUGUACCCC
This is a long non-coding RNA of Numida meleagris (helmeted guineafowl), 814 nucleotides long. RefSeq lists it as uncharacterized. NCBI's taxonomy places the organism in Eukaryota, Metazoa, Chordata, Aves, Galliformes, Numididae. The record is from RefSeq and is a predicted model, not a curated record. The transcript is spliced from 4 exons.